This 405-nucleotide ribosomal RNA is filed under the name Triticum aestivum (bread wheat). Its description in RNAcentral is "partial small subunit ribosomal RNA". The record is from RNAcentral. Lineage: Eukaryota; Viridiplantae; Streptophyta; Magnoliopsida; Poales; Poaceae.
AUGGCGGUGCUCGAUCUGCGGUGUGGGCUAUCAAGACGGCGCGACGGAGCUGCUGCUGCCGGUUGCCUGCCCGGAGCUGCUGCCGGUUGCCUGCCCGGAGCUGUUGCCGCUGGUCGUCCGGCCGGAUCUGCUACUUCAGGCGAUGCUCACAUCACCGUCACCCUCCCGCUCCUCUUCCUCCUCCUUAUUAAUAGAUGUGGUGCAGAUGUGGUGGAGUAUAUCUUCUGGAAUGGGUAUGAACCGGCCAAAGUUCAGGCAGUGCCGGCGAGGUGCGCAGGGGCUGGUGGCCGGCGGCCGGCGAGGUGUGCUCCUGGGUCGGUGGCGACCAGGAAUCUGGGCGGUGAUGAGGAGGAGAUCCUGGGCAUCGAUGAGCGGGAGAUCCUGGGCGGAGAAGUUGGGCGCCAG